This 94-nucleotide transfer RNA is filed under the name bacterium. RNAcentral's name for it is "tRNA-Ser". It matches the Rfam family "tRNA". Rfam says of the family: Transfer RNA (tRNA) molecules are approximately 80 nucleotides in length. Their secondary structure includes four short double-helical elements and three loops (D, anti-codon, and T loops). Further hydrogen bonds mediate the characteristic L-shaped molecular structure. tRNAs have two regions of fundamental functional importance: the anti-codon, which is responsible for specific mRNA codon recognition, and the 3' end, to which the tRNAs corresponding amino acid is attached (by aminoacyl-tRNA synthetases). tRNAs cope with the degeneracy of the genetic code in two manners: having more than one tRNA (with a specific anti-codon) for a particular amino acid; and 'wobble' base-pairing, i.e. permitting non-standard base-pairing at the 3rd anti-codon position. The record is from RNAcentral.
GGAGACGUGGCUGAGUGGCUGAAAGCGGCGGGUUGCUAACCCGUUAUACGGCCUUAAAACCGUAUCAGAGGUUCGAAUCCUCUCGUCUCCGCCA